GUACACGCUGUGACUAGCAUAUCAAUAAGCGGAGGAAAAGAAACUAACAAGGAUUCCCCUAGUAACGGCGAGUGAAGCGGGAAGAGCUCAAAUUUGAAAUCUUAAAGGGUUUCCCUUUACGAAUUGUAGUUUAAAGAAGUGUUUUCUGUUGAGGUUUUGGUAAAAGUUCUUUGGAAUAGGACAUCAUAGAGGGUGAGAAUCCCGUAUUUGACCUUUACUUUCAACUUUGUGAUACACUUUCAAAGAGUCGGAUUGUUUGGGAAUGCAGUCCAAAAUGGGUGGUAAAUUUCAUCUAAAGCUAAAUAUUGGCGAGAGACCGAUAGCGAACAAGUACCGUGAGGGAAAGAUGAAAAGAACUUUGAAAAGAGAGUUAAACAGUACGUGAAAUUGUCAAAAGGGAAGCGUUUGACACCAGUGUUGUUUUUCUGAAAAUCAAUUAAAGAACUGUUUAUGCUAAGCUGUUUAGACUUUAUCAGCUAUCUGUUUAGUUUUGAGCUUUUCUUUAAUGCACUUUUCAGUUAACAAGUCAACAUCAAUUUCUUUUGCUGUAAAAAAGCUUGAGGAAGGUGGCUUGAGAUUCGUCUUAAGUGUUUAUAGCCUCUUGCCUAUGCAGUCGGAGAGAUUGAGGUCUGCAGCGUAGAUCCUUCGGGGCUAAAUGCAUUUGUGCUAAGUUAUAGCAUUUUAUAGACAACUUGUUGACUAUGAUUUGUCUUGUAGCUUACUCGCUUAUGUUAUUUUACCUACGCUUAGGAUGUUGAACUACUGAGACAUAGA
RNAcentral lists this ribosomal RNA (774 nucleotides) under uncultured Neocallimastigales. RNAcentral's name for it is "partial large subunit ribosomal RNA". It matches the Rfam family "Eukaryotic large subunit ribosomal RNA", at positions 22 to 644 of the family's 3401-position model. Lineage: Eukaryota; Fungi; Neocallimastigomycota; Neocallimastigomycetes; Neocallimastigales. The record is from RNAcentral.